RNAcentral lists this unclassified non-coding RNA (229 nucleotides) under plant metagenome. RNAcentral describes it as "partial contains small subunit ribosomal RNA, internal transcribed spacer 1, and 5.8S ribosomal RNA". The record is from RNAcentral.
UCUCCGUAGGUGAACCUGCGGAGGGAUCAUUACAGAGUUCAUGCCCUACCGGGUAGAUCUCCCACCCUAUGUUAUUAUUACUUUGUUGCUUUGGCGGGCCGUUAGGCUCCGGCCCGACUACCGGCCCCGGCUGGUAAGCGCCCGCCAGAGGACCCAAAACCCUGAAUAUUAGUGUCGUCUGAGUACUAUAUAACAGUUAAAACUUUCAACAACGGAUCUCUUGGUACUG